RNAcentral lists this ribosomal RNA (245 nucleotides) under uncultured bacterium. Its description in RNAcentral is "partial 16S ribosomal RNA". It matches the Rfam family "Bacterial small subunit ribosomal RNA", at positions 528 to 772 of the family's 1533-position model. The record is from RNAcentral.
GAGGAUGCGAGCGUUAUCCGGAUUUAUUGGGUUUAAAGGGUGCGUAGGCGGGAUAUCAAGUCAGUGGUGAACGUUUGCGGCUCAACCGUAAAAUUGCCGCUGAAACUGAUGUCCUUGAGUACAGCAGAGGCAGGCGGAAUGUGCCGUGUAGCGGUGAAAUGCAUAGAUAUGGCACAGAACCCCGAUUGCGAAGGCAGCUUGCUGGACUGUGACUGACGCUGAUGCACGAAAGCGUGGGUAUCAAA